This 669-nucleotide ribosomal RNA is filed under the name Triticum aestivum (bread wheat). RNAcentral's name for it is "partial small subunit ribosomal RNA". Lineage: Eukaryota; Viridiplantae; Streptophyta; Magnoliopsida; Poales; Poaceae. The record is from RNAcentral.
AUGGUGGUGGAUGCACUUGCAGCCAUCCUGGACUAGGCUAAGGCGGCGGGCCAUAUUCAUGGGGUCGCUCCCCACUUGGCCGGUGGCGCCGGCAUCUCCCUGCUCCAGUACGCCGACGACACCAUCAUCAUGGUCGAAGGCUCGGACGCGGACAUCGCUAACCUUAAGUUCCUCCUCUACUUCCAACAAAUGUCUGGCCUCAAGAUCAACUUCGAUAAGAGUGACGUGAUGGUGAUGGGCCACUCUCCGGCCGAGGCCCUCGACAUCGCCAACCGCCUGAACCGCCGCCUAGGCGCCUUCCCCACCACCUACCUGGGAACGCCCAUUAGUGACUCUCGGCUUACUGUUGCUGACCUGCGACCGACGGUGGCCAAGUUACAAACGCGCAUUGAGCCUUGGCAGGGGCGGUGGCUGUCAAAGGAGGCCCGGACGAUUCUCAUCAACUCCUCGCUCUCCAGCCUCCUCUUGUUCCUCAUGAGCUUCUACAGCCUCCACGAGACUCUCCACCAUGAGAUCGCCAAGGUCUAAUCCCGCUUCUAUUGGGCCGGGGACAAUAACAAACAGAAAUACCAUAUGGUUAGUUGGCCCGACAUCUGUAAGCCUCAGGAACAAGGUGGCCUUGGUAUCAUGUGCUCGAAGCGCAUGAAUAUCGCCCUCCUUUCCCGCUGA